RNAcentral lists this ribosomal RNA (433 nucleotides) under uncultured bacterium. RNAcentral's name for it is "partial 16S ribosomal RNA". It matches the Rfam family "Bacterial small subunit ribosomal RNA", at positions 29 to 507 of the family's 1533-position model. The record is from RNAcentral.
AACGAACGCUGGCGGCAUGCCUAACACAUGCAAGUCGAACGAAGGCUUCGGCCUUAGUGGCGCACGGGUGCGUAACGCGUGGGAAUCUGCCCUUUGGUUCGGAAUAACAGCUGGAAACGGCUGCUAAUACCGGAUGAUGACGAAAGUCCAAAGAUUUAUCGCCAGAGGAUGAGCCCGCGUUGGAUUAGGUAGUUGGUGGGGUAAAGGCCUACCAAGCCGACGAUCCAUAGCAGGUCUGAGAGGAUGAUCAGCCACACUGGGACUGAGACACGGCCCAGACUCCUACGGGAGGCAGCAGUGGGGAAUAUUGGACAAUGGGCGCAAGCCUGAUCCAGCAAUGCCGCGUGAGUGAUGAAGGCCCUAGGGUUGUAAAGCUCUUUUACCCGGGAAGAUAAUGACUGUACCGGGAGAAUAAGCCCCGGCUAACUCCGUG